UACGGAGGGUGCAAGCGUUAUCCGGAUUUACUGGGGUUAAAGGGUGCGUAGGUGGGUUGGGUAGUCAGUGGUGAAAUACUUUCGCUUAACGAAGGAACUGCCAUUGAUACUUCCAAUCUUGAAUACAGUGGAGGUGGGCGGAAUGCGUCAUGUAGUGGUGAAAUACUUAGAUAUGACGCAGAACACCUAUUGCGAAGGCAGCUCGCUACACUGUCAUUGACACUGAGGCACGAAAGCGUGGGGAUCAAACAGG
RNAcentral lists this ribosomal RNA (253 nucleotides) under uncultured bacterium. Its description in RNAcentral is "partial 16S ribosomal RNA". It matches the Rfam family "Bacterial small subunit ribosomal RNA", at positions 524 to 776 of the family's 1533-position model. The record is from RNAcentral.